AAUAGACUGUAUUGGUUACAUUUUUCUCUGUCAUACAGGUUGUGGCUAUCAAAGAUAUAAUAUCACCUCCUUAUAGGGAAACAUUUAAUGAUGUGUACAGACAAAGGGAUGAGUAACCAACAAUACGAAUAUGGGAGGCCUUCCCCAGGGACGCCGUGCUAAGCUGGCGGGGCUAGUGCCACGGCGGGAAAGGCGUCGUCGAGGCGAAUUAGAUGAAAGACACAAAAAGAAAAUUGUUGCUGAUUUUUUUCCUUUUUUUAUUUAUAAUGUUAAACUUAUAUGUAUUUAUGCGAGGAUGAAUGUAAUGUGGAUAAGAUUGUUUGUCUUUGGAUGAAUGUAGUUUAUGUUUGGAUGGAUUUACGUAGUUUGGGUUUAGA
Magnolia sinica is the source of this 377-nucleotide long non-coding RNA. RefSeq lists it as uncharacterized. The record is from RefSeq and is a predicted model, not a curated record. NCBI's taxonomy places the organism in Eukaryota, Viridiplantae, Streptophyta, Magnoliopsida, Magnoliales, Magnoliaceae. The transcript is spliced from 3 exons.